CACCAGCGCCACGAGUGGCAAUCAGCAUUACAGGGCCUAAAGCGUCCGUAGCCGGUCCGGAAAAUUCCUUGUGAAAUCGUCGGGCUCAACCUGACGGCGUGCAGGGGACACUACCGGACUUGAGACCGGAGAGGGGUCAGAGGAAUUAGGGGGGGAGCGGUAAAAUGCAAUAAUCCUCCUAAGACCACCUGUGGCGAAGGCGUCUGACCAGAACGGAUCUGACGGUGAGGGACGAAAGCCAGGGGAGCGA
This 250-nucleotide ribosomal RNA is filed under the name uncultured Candidatus Woesearchaeota archaeon. Its description in RNAcentral is "partial 16S ribosomal RNA". It matches the Rfam family "Archaeal small subunit ribosomal RNA", at positions 474 to 722 of the family's 1478-position model. Lineage: Archaea; Nanobdellati; Candidatus Woesearchaeota. The record is from RNAcentral.